GUGCUCACUUCAGCAGCACAUAUGCUGAAGUUGGAAUGUUACAGAGAAGAUUAGCAUGGCCCCCGAGCAAGGAUGACACACAAAUUUGUAAAGCACUCCAUAUUUUU
RNAcentral lists this small nuclear RNA (107 nucleotides) under Dasypus novemcinctus (nine-banded armadillo). Lineage: Eukaryota; Metazoa; Chordata; Mammalia; Cingulata; Dasypodidae. The record is from RNAcentral.